Molecule: long non-coding RNA, 2017 nt
Filed under: Panax ginseng (ginseng)
Lineage: Eukaryota; Viridiplantae; Streptophyta; Magnoliopsida; Apiales; Araliaceae
Description: long non-coding RNA (PGIN_LNC012203)
Source: RNAcentral
GAGUUAGGAUCGAAUGAACUUCCCUCACAUUUUUUCAAUAAUCUCCCCGCCCUAUUAUGGGGCCAAAGGCCAUGAAUGGUAAAUGACUCGGGGAGAGGGGUUUUACACUUCCCUGGGUUGAGCUCGCAAAAUGCAGCCGGCCAUUGAAGGUUAAGACGAAAUCCGGCCACUAAAGGUAUGAAUUUGAGAUAUUCAUUCUCACAAUUUGCUGAUGCAGGGCAAUCUACGAACUUUGUUGCGAGUUGGUUUACACAUAGAUUAAUCGCCAGAAACACUUUACUUGGGCAAAAUAGUUCUGGCAAAGCUCCCAACUGCUUUUUAAUUUUUGCUUUUAUAUCUGUUCCAGCACGAGGCUUUCCGUCUUCCGGUUCAAAUAUCCCUACAAAUUUGCAAUACUACUCUCAUCAAACUCAGAUUAAUGAUUAAUCAUGCAUAACAUCUAAAUUUAGUGUAGUAGUUCCUUUAUUUUGAGACUAAAAUAUAAAAAUGCAUAAAAUCCUGACUUAUAUACUACUAAUUAAAAUUUAAUUACUUUUUAAAAUUAAAACCAUGAUCGUCACUUAUUAUUUUACAAUAAUUUUAUUUUUUGUGGAAGUUAUUUAGUUCAUUAAUUAUACAAUAGAGUAUGAUUUAAACACUAAAUUUAUUAGACUUUUAAGUUUCCACUCAACUUUAAACUCUAAUUAAAAAUGCAUAUAUAAAUAUGAAGGAUUGAUUAUAAAAACUAAAUAUUAAAUUUUGAAAAUAUAUAAAAAAAUAAUAUUAAAUUAAAAAUACAAAAGAAUCACAUCAGUAAUACUCAAUAAUAUGUGAUCUAUAGUUAUUCGUUUUUUAAGAAAAAUAUAUAGUCAUUUUAUAAAUUAUAAAGAUAAUUACAAGAAUAAAAAUAUGUCUUUUGGUCCUUCGGUUUAUAUAUUUAGCAAAAUGGUCUCCUGUGGUACAAACUGAAACAAAUCGGGUCAAAUCGAAUUAAAUUCAACUAAACAAAGCCUUAAACCACUAAUUCAAUAGUUUCUUCUUUGAUUCUUUUAGUCCACCACAAGCCUCACUCAAAACAUCAUAAUCGAAAGUACGAUUGUUAGUAACUUAAUUAAUUCCUUAUAUAUAGACAAAUAUUUUACAUAUGUUUCGAUGUGGGACUGGACUCGAGUGUUACACAAACGGUGGACAAAUGCACCACAAGGACCGUUUUGCUAAAUAUGCAAAGUUAGAACCACAAUUAAUAUUGACAAACUCAAGAGACAAUUAAUUUUGCACUUUUUGUGUUUGUUACUAUUAUUGUUUUUUCUUCUUUGGUCUUACUCUGCUGGUUAAGCAAUCAACUAAAUUAAAGACUAUUUAAUUAUACAUGAUCUAUAAGUAUAUAUGUUUACCUUCCUUGUUUAGCGCCCCAAGCACAUCAGCUUUCUUUCUUAAAGCAAUGGCAUUUUGAAAAUAAACAGUCUGCGUGAAUUCGCGUGAUUCUGAACACCUUCCAUGUUUGUCCCACUCGUAUUUCCAAAAUUCUUUAUUAUUUGCAUGACUGACAGUAGGCCAGAAUUCGUUCAAAUCUGCUAGUAAGGCACCCUUUAUCUGUAAAUUACCAAAUUAGAGGAGAGAAAACUAGCUAGUUAGUUUCACAUAUAUAUAUAUAUAUAUAGACUGCAUAGAGAAUUAAUUAAGUCGAAAUUAAAAAGCAAAUACACAUUUUGAGUACUCACAGAGUUAGCAUCGAAUGGACUUCCCCGACAAUUUUCCAAUGGUUUCCCCGCCCUAUUAUAGGGCCAAAGGCCAUGAAUGGUAAAUGAGUCGGGGAGAGGGGUACUUUUACACUUCCCUGGGUUGAGCUCGCAAAAUGCAGUCGACCAUUGAAGGUUAAGGCGAAAUUCGGACACUGCAGGAGCCGGAAUCUGAGCAUUCCCACCCCAAGAGCAAAUGCUCAAACUCAAUAUAAUGAUGAUACUAAUAAUAUCUAUUGCCCUCAUUUUAUAUAUAUAUAAUCUCUUCAAAUUUUCCGUGAUCUCUAUACUUCUAUGCU